This is a long non-coding RNA of Brassica rapa (field mustard), 2723 nucleotides long. RefSeq lists it as uncharacterized. The record is from RefSeq and is a predicted model, not a curated record. NCBI's taxonomy places the organism in Eukaryota, Viridiplantae, Streptophyta, Magnoliopsida, Brassicales, Brassicaceae.
GCUGAUAAUAGAAUCAAAGGAAAUGGCUUGAGAAACAUGUUAGUUGAUUAAACAUUAAGUGGUAUUGUGUUUAGAUGCUUUCAUGUUUCAUAGAAACAACUAACCAUUCAAAUAGGGAAGCGUUACAUCAAAAAACAAAAAAAACAAAAAGAAAAAACAAAGAAAGAGCCCAAGAUGAUGAAUAGUAAUCCUUUUGGGUUUCGUCUCACAAGAAGCAGAACAUUUAUCAUAUGUUUUGUUUUCUUUUUUUUUCCCUUCUGAUUUUUAUUGAUGAAACUGAAAAAACAUACAAGAUGAAAUCCAAAUGCCAGCGGAUACGACUUAAAAUCCCUGAAAUCCCUGGAAACAUAGCCCACAACAGGGGAUCGCAAACCCAAACAAGUGAACAACGGGUGACAUACAACAACUACUAAGAUCACUAGAUUAAUCUUCACUCUUACAUCCAAACCCGUGAACAAUCCUUGGUAGUGAGAAUAGAGAUGAUACCUAUUGGCUUUGAUCAGCCGGAUCUCUUCCGAGAGCCAGACAAGAGAGAGUAAGCGAUGCAAUGGCCUUCACAACUACGACACCAGACCAAACUUACAUGAACCUUCAGUUCCAUGAACCAAGCCAGAACCACAAUGUCUAACACCAAAAACCAACUCAAGAAGCAAACAAACGCCUUACACUAAAGCUCCCUUCUCAACUGAACCUUCAUCGGAAAAUCUAAAGGCCUCAACCUCUUUAUAAUGCUUCAACUAACAGAAGCCACCGAGGACGAGAGAGGCAAAUGACAAUCCGGUAGACACACUUAUUCAAAGGACAGGAGAAGAGCUCAUAACAGAGAGAUGGAGGCGACCAGAACCAUGAAUCUUCUCUUCUCAAAGGUGUUAGACCUGCUCUGCUCACCACACACCACUACACCGUCAACACAUGACCGCACCAUCAACACACCACCGCUUAAACCGUUGCUGAAACAAAAACCAAGAGGACAAACACUAAAACCCAACAAGAACGCCUCAGAUUUUCAACCUCUCUGACAAGGAACAUACGACAGAUGGGAUAAAAAGAUGAAGCACAAGCCAAGACGAAGCAAACGAACAAGGCUGACACAAAACAUGACCAUCUGCACCAGAAAUCUAAAAGGGAAACAACUCAAGAUCUGUAGAUCUAACAGAUUCAAACCCCAAAAUUUCUAGAUCUGUUAACAGACAAAAAGGAGAUGAUGAGAGAGGUGAAGAGAAAACGAAAUACAAGAGGACGAGUCACUCCGGUGGCGGCGAGGAGCGCCCACCACCGGAGAAAGCAACGAAAGACUGGCUGCUAAAGUUUCAAUGGCUUAGUGGUAAAUGUCCUAUAUAUAUAUCAUACUAACUCUGGUUCGAUUCUCACCUUCGCAUUGUUUUUCUAUUUUUUGCGAAAAAUAAAUGAAAUGACAUGGCAAUUUCGGGUUUUCUGAUUGGUUGAUUUUUCUAUCUUAUGUGGACACUCUCUCCAUGGCUUAUAUCCUCCUUUUAGUAUAGUAUAGAUGGUCGGAAUAGUCAAUGACCAACUUAUGUGUGCCUUUUUCAGUGAGCACUAAACUCUCCAAAAACAGAUUUUGUUUUGCCUCUUAGAUGAUGACGAGUAUUGAGUACAUAUGUCAUAUUCACUGCAAUACUAGUAUACUAUCUUUCCAACCCAGACAAGUCAUAAUAUUAGUCUUAAAAUUAAGAAUAAACAAAAACAAAUUAUUUAAAUUGAAUCGUAUGUAGCUUUGGGUGAUAGUAAUUCAGCUAAGGUCUUUUUUACGUCUCUUCUUUUGGUUUAAUGUUUGUGUUUAGUUUUAGCUGUAUGGUGUUGACCUCCUUAUUAUAGGUGCAUCCAGAUUUUGAGUUAUGGUUUUUGUAAAUGGCUACCACUAAAUGAAAAUAGAGAAAUUUCACCCAAUAACUCACCAAAAAACCAAAAUUAACAAACUAACCAAAAUCACCUUCUCUUUCUUCUUUUCUUUUCCUAUCUCUCUCUACCCUCUUUCUAAAAAACUAAUUUUGAUAUUUGUUUUGGUUAUUUCACAAAUAACCCCAUGAAUAUAUGACCCACAAAACAAAAUCAUGGAAUUUUGUUUCCCUGAUUAUUUUUUUUCCAAUUUAUACGCAACGUCAGAUCCGUGCACUACUAUCUAUAACAUCGACAUUCGCUUAAAUUUUUUGAAAGUUAUAUAAGAUUUUCCAAAAUUGUGAAAUUACUUUUAUUGAAGUAUUUAAGAAAUGUUUGUAACCUGGAAAUCUUAAAUCCGGCCAUGUUUACAAGCAUUUUUUAAUUACCACUAAAAAAAUAGUGUUUCAUCUCCAUUCCUCAAAAAUUCUCUGUUUAAUCUCUUUUAUUCAUUUUCUUUUUUAUUUGUUUUCUAUUUUUGGUAGCCACCAACCGAAAAACUCUCAUAUUCAUACAAUCGAUUUAGUAGUGGACACGAGACAUCUAACUACCGCCCAUUUUAUAAGGCCAUCUCUACCUAACUCUUCAAUAAUUCUACUUUCCGAACAGUGGAUCUUGGAUCCUUCUAAUCCAAUAUCUCUCUGAAGAUAUCACAUGGACACGAACCUAGAAUCGAUCCAAGUAUGAAGUAUAAGAACUUAAGAACAUCUGAAUAUGUAUGCUGCUCUUAUAUAUUGAUUCUCCUCUUAAGAACUUAAAAAUUUGCCAGAUCUUCAUCAAAGAAAACCGUGUCUAGUGAUCCAAUAUAAUGUUUUUGUCUGUCUUCA